UACGAAGGGGGCGAGCGUUGUUCGGAAUCACUGGGCGUAAAGGGCGCGUAGGCGGCCCUCCUAGUCGCGUGUGAAAGCCCCGGGCUCAACCUGGGAACGGCGCGCGAAACGGGGGGGCUGGAGUUUGGGAGAGGGAUGCGGAAUUCCAGGUGUAGCGGUGAAAUGCGUAGAUAUCUGGAGGAACACCGGUGGCGAAGGCGGCAUCCUGGACCAACACUGACGCUGAGGAGCGAAAGCCAGGGGAGCAAACGGG
Molecule: ribosomal RNA, 253 nt
Filed under: uncultured bacterium
Lineage: Bacteria
Description: partial 16S ribosomal RNA
Rfam family: Bacterial small subunit ribosomal RNA
Source: RNAcentral